RNAcentral lists this ribosomal RNA (327 nucleotides) under uncultured eukaryote. Its description in RNAcentral is "partial 18S ribosomal RNA". It matches the Rfam family "Eukaryotic small subunit ribosomal RNA", at positions 1470 to 1796 of the family's 1831-position model. The record is from RNAcentral.
CCCUUAGAUGUUCUGGGCCGCACACGCGCUACACUGAAGGAGGCAGCGUGUACUCCUGGAUCGAAAGAUUUGGGUAACCCGCGAAUCUCCUUCGUGCUAGGGAUUGAGGUUUGCAAUUAUCCUUCAUGAACGAGGAAUUCCCAGUAAGUGCAAGUCAUAAGCUUGCACUGACUACGUCCCUGCCCUUUGUACACACCGCCCGUCGCUACUACCGAUUGAAUGAUUUAGUGAGGACUUCGGACUGGGACCGAUGCGGCUUUCGGGCUGCGUCGGUAUUCUGGAAAGAUGUCCAAACUGUNUNAUUUAGNGGAAGUAAAANUCGUANCA